AGCGUAUAUUAAAGUUGUUGCAGUUAAAAAGCUCGUAGUUGAAUUUCGGGAUCAAUACGUCGGUCGUGCUUCGGUACGUACUGGCGUCNUUGAUUUCUCCCUUCUGACGAACCAUGAUGUCAUUAACUUGGUGUCAUGGGAAAUCAGGACUGUUACUUUGAAAAAAUUAGAGUGUUUAAAGCAGGCUUAGGCUUGAAUACAUUAGCAUGGAAUAAUGAAAUAGGACGUUCGAACCUAUUUUGUUGGUUUCUAGGAUCGACGUAAUGAUUAAUAGGGAUAGUUGGGGGCAUUAGUAUUCAAUUGUCAGAGGUGAAAUUCUUGGAUUUAUUGAAGACUAACUACUGCGAAAGCAUUUGCCAAGGAUGUUUUCAUUAAUCAAGAACGAAAGUUAGGGGAUCGAAGACGAUCAGAUACCGUCGUAGUCUUAACCAUAAACUAUGCCGACUAGGGAUCGGAUGAUGUUAAUUUUUUAAUGACUCAUUC
Molecule: ribosomal RNA, 483 nt
Filed under: uncultured Glomeromycotina
Lineage: Eukaryota; Fungi; Glomeromycota
Description: SSU rRNA
Rfam family: Eukaryotic small subunit ribosomal RNA
Source: RNAcentral